This 288-nucleotide ribosomal RNA is filed under the name Triticum aestivum (bread wheat). Its description in RNAcentral is "partial small subunit ribosomal RNA". The record is from RNAcentral. Lineage: Eukaryota; Viridiplantae; Streptophyta; Magnoliopsida; Poales; Poaceae.
AUGCUGCCAGGCCAAUCCUUCUCCUCUGAUCCCCUAUCCCCGAAGAUUGGAAUUAAUUUCAUGAAAAUCGGCCAGCCACAGCUCCAAGAAUACGCGGAGGAGGUGGCCCGGCUCGGCGUCGGCGCCGUCCAGCGCGGGCCACGGGCCCGCUUCCAAGUGCAUCUGCGCGUCGGCUACCCACGCCGGGUCCUUCAAGUGCCACUUCCACCGCACCAACUCCUAGGGCCACGGCCAUGGCCAGGGCCAAGGAAGCCGCCCUUCUUCGCCCCCUUCACCGGUCGCGGCUAA